CAGGCCUAACACAUGCAAGUCGAGCGCUUGGGGUGUUCCCUUACGGGAAACCCCCUGGAGCGGCGGACGGGUGAGUAACACGUAGGCAACCUGCCUGUAAGAUCGGGAUAACUACCGGAAACGGUAGCUAAGACCGGAUAGCUGGUUUCUCCGCAUGGAGGGAUCAUGAAACAUGGGGCAACCUAUGGCUUACGGAUGGGCCUGCGGCGCAUUAGCUAGUUGGUGGGGUAACGGCCCACCAAGGCGACGAUGCGUAGCCGACCUGAGAGGGUGAUCGGCCACACUGGGACUGAGACACGGCCCAGACUCCUACGGGAGGCAGCAGUAGGGAAUCUUCCGCAAUGGGCGCAAGCCUGACGGAGCAACGCCGCGUGAGUGAUGAAGGUUUUCGGAUCGUAAAGCUCUGUUGCCAAGGAAGAACGCCUCGGAGAGUAACUGCUCUGAGGGUGACGGUACUUGAGAAGAAAGCCCCGGCUAACUACGUGCCAGCAGCCGCGGUAAUACGUAGGGGGCAAGCGUUGUCCGGAAUUAUUGGGCGUAAAGCGCGCGCAGGCGGUCUUUUAAGUUUGGUGUUUAAGCCCGGGGCUCAACCCCGGUUCGCACUGAAAAACUGGGAGACUUGAGUGCAGGAGAGGAAAGCGGAAUUCCACGUGUAGCGGGUGAAAUGCGUAGAGAUGUGGAGGAACACCAGUGGCGAAUGCGGCUUUCUGGACUGUAACUGACGCUGAGGCGCGAAAGCGUGGGGAGCAA
This 750-nucleotide ribosomal RNA is filed under the name uncultured bacterium. RNAcentral describes it as "bacterial SSU rRNA". It matches the Rfam family "Bacterial small subunit ribosomal RNA", at positions 43 to 771 of the family's 1533-position model. The record is from RNAcentral.